CGCGGGUCACCCUAAACGGCGCCGUUUUGGCACGGGUGACCCUGGUGCAAAACGGCACCGUUUCAAACAAGUAUAAAAACCAAUUUUUUCUUAAAAAUUCAUUCUGUUAUUCAUUUAAAAAAAAAAAUUUAAAACCUACCCCCCAUUUUCUUCUCCUCUGCUAGGGUUUCUUAACCCAUCAUCGCCGUCGCCGGACCGCCACCGUAUACUGCGGCCGGAGUUCCUAAAAGGAACCCUUUUCAGUCAAUCCGAACUCCCCAAACUCGAUUUAAGGGUAAUGUGCCCAUCUAUCCACCAAAAACUCGAAAAUAAAAGCAAAGAAGAGGAGAAAAUAAAAGGGACUCUUCGGCUCCCUAAUAAUGCCGAUGGGAUUUUUAGUCGAAUCCCCUGACUCGGUGUUCUCCGAGGCCGGAGAAGGCUCCGAGCACGACGCAAAAAGGUAACGGGUUUCUCCCCUAUUAUUUAUUUACUAUUGUUAUUUCGAACUAAAAAAUGGAAAUAAAUAAAAAUGAAAUAGAAAUAAAAAAGCACCUUAAUAUUCUUUGAAUCAGUUUUUGUAUUUUUAUCUUUUUUUUUUUUAUUUCUCUCCCUUUACAAACUGAUUUUGUUUCGGUUUUAUAACCGAUUACAAUAGAAAAGAAAUCACUCCCCUUUCUCUGUUGUUUCUGCUUCUUUGGUAUUCUUUUUGCCUUCUUUUGCAGGUCUCUGUAGGUGCAGGCGAUGGGACGGGUCAAAGGGUGGCUGAGCCUCGAGCGUCGGAUGUGCUGACCAGGCACGUGAGGAGCGGCGCACACUGCUACUAGGGUUUUUCUGUUUCUGCUAUUUUUUCCUUUUUUUGGGUCAUGGGCUUGUAAAAUUUUGGGCCAUAGUUUGGGCUUUAGGUUCUUGGUUUGAUUUGGUUUGGUUUUGUAUUUGAUUUGGGCUUGUUGGGUCCGGGCUGGGCAAAUUUGGGCAUUUACAAACUCAAUAGGUUUGCUUUUGUACCAGCUUUCCUUGCAUAGAAAUAUAACUAGUAGGGAAGGGGGAUUAACUUAGCUAGAUACUGGAAGGGUUUAGUCAAUGCUAUUGUGUUCUGGGUUAGUAAUUACAUAGAUUGAACGAUUGAAUGAAGUUAGUGUUCCAAGAUCUUUAAAAGUUAAUUGAAAAGCUUAGUAAUUUUUAUCGUUUUUGUUUAAUAAAAUUUCUUUUAAGUAUUUUAAUUUAAUUUUAGUAGUGAAUAAUUUUUUUUUUCUUGAUCUGGAUUAGAUAAAAUUGGAUAGUUGAUAUUUAGCAGCAUAAAAUUUGAUCCUUAUAGGAAUGAUAUCUUCUUACAACUUUAUUACUUGAUUGGACCCGUGCACUUAAAUAACAAAUUUUCACACAUCUUUUUUGAUGCUGUUGCCAGAUACCAAAAUUUUAAAUUAUAUUCCGCUAAUAUUAAUUUUAUUCAUUAGUAAUCAAAGAUUAGGUAUUUUUAUUUUAUUUUAUUUGAAUUUAUUUUUGUUUUAUUUUAUAUUGUUUUUGUUUUUCAAGUACUCUAGAAUGGAACAAAUUGAAAGUACCUAUCGCCAGAAUGGAAGAGCAACCAAACAAGUUAAAAUACAACCAAUCAAGAUGGAUCCUGUGAAUCCUGAGAACUCACCUAGGGUUGGUGAUCAACCAUUGAUGAUUUGAACUCCUCAGCAACAGAGUAGGUGUAUUGAUUAUAGCAUGCCUUUGCAUGAAGGAUAUCAUUUGAGUAUCGUCAGGCCUACUAUUGAGGUGAAGAAUUUUAAGAUCGAUGCUGGGGCUAUGCAGUGAACAAGAUCUUCGUAUUACUAAGUAAAGACCCCAAUUCUGAUUUAAGAACUUUUUUAAAAAUCGGUGAUAUUGUGAAGUAUAAUGGAUUUUCUUAGAGAUUUACUAUUGAGAACUAUAUCUUCUUAUCAUUUUAUUACUUAAUUCAACACGUGCACUUACAUAAUAAAUUUUCACACAUCAGCCAUAGAUAGUGUUCUGAUUUUCUCUUGGUUCUUAUAACCUUCUUGCAAGAUUACAGGAUAAAUUGCAAUCACUGUAUGUUAGGAACAAACGAGGCGUGCUUGGAACUUGAAUAAAGAUGGAGAUAUGCACUUCAAGCUCUUCAACAAAGAACAAAGACUACCAUAUUUACUUGACAUAUAAUACAAGAAUCAAGCUCUUGGUCAACGGAUGCUACCUCUUCCAUAUUAAUAUUUGGUCAACAGUUAGCAUUAUGCAUAGAAGCAGAACCCUCUAGAGUUGCCCAGAAUUUAUUUUUUACACUUGUUUUAGAUCCCAGUUCUUCCCCCCUAUACUGAAUAUGUGGAGUACAACACAGGUAAAGCAUUAUUUGCUAACUUCACUAGAAAAACAAUGCAUUCCCUUUCGCCAAUGUAAAAGAAAGAAAAUGAACAAAUGGUCAUUCAAAUCGCAGCUUCCGGGACAAGGGAUGGAUCACUUAGCUAGUACAUUGUCCACUAAUUUAGCCUUAACCUAAAAAGGAUUGUCAAAAGGAAGUAGAAACUAAUUUUCCACUAAUGAAUUAGAGAGUCGAAAAGAUUAAAUUGAGUUGAAAUAAGCAUUCCAUAGAAUGAAUCAUCAACAUGUUCUGAGCUUAAGUUUUUAGUUGGAAUUUUUUCUUCUUCAUAGAUAUCCACAUUCAUGGGUAAAUUUUCAAUACUUAUGGCCAUGUAUAACUAUAUUUACGUUUGUUGAUAUAUAAAAACUCUAAUUAUUGACUAAAUUUAAAUAAAAUAAAUUACAAGAGAUUAUCCUCUCAAGCUCCUCCUAUGAUUAAAACUAAAAAAAACUAAGAAAAAAAUUGUGAUUUAUAGUGCUGGAUUCAUGAUUGAAUGAUCAACCAAAUGAUUAUUAAAUUGUCUAUACUUUCUAAUAACAUCUCUAAUAAACAAUGUUGGAAAGCUUUUAGGUAUAGUUAACAUGACAUAGAAUAUAGAGCUCUUUAAAUUAUGAUUUGUUCUGGUUGCUUGAUGUGAUUGAGAGUAUAGAAACAUUGUACCAUGCGCAUUUGGAGUUUGAUGGGUUAAAAUCAUGCUAUGCGGGCAACAAAGCAUAGUUAACGGUAGAAACAAAUCAUACUCUCUUGAUUUAUCUAAUUGAUUUUUCUCAUUAGAUUAAUGGGGAGAAAAAGAUUAAUUGAAAUUGUUAUAACAGUUAAAUACAAUUAGAAGCAUAGAUAAGCUAAAAGAAAAUGUAAUUUUGUAAUAGGUCAAUGUGUCAUCUUUUAGUGGUUUGAUAUUAAUAAAAAGGCACAGUGACUUUUUUUUUAUUAUUAGGCAUCCAGUUUGAGUAAAAGGUGCUACAAUUAGAUAUUUCACUAAAUAAAAUCACUCAUGGCCCACUUAACUAAACCAUUGCAUGUAUGACUCGUAGGCUUGAAAAUUACUAUCUUGAAUAAUUUCCUUACAUAUGCUCAACUCAGUUCACCAACUCCAGAUUUAGACCUAUUCUGCAUAUUGAUUCUAUCCUCUCAGAUUUAUCAUUCAAAAUCACUCGAUGUUUUGGGAAUCCAUAAAAAAAUUCUUUAAGAAACAUUAACUGAUGUUUCACUCGAUCAAAGUGUUGCAACUCCAUAAUGUGAAAAUAGAUAAGGGGCACCCAUUCCUUGACCAAUAUAUACAACUCAAAAACAAGCUAGUGUUAUGGCAAAAACGGUGUUGUUCAAGUACAAUAUCCAUCGAAACUGCAAAGAAACACUACAGCAAAACAGGCUUUUAGCGGCGUUUGAACAAAAAACGCCGCUAAAGUUCGAGCAUUAGCGGCGCUUUUAAAACAACGCCGCUAUAGGUUGAGCAUUAGUGGCGUUUAUUGUAAAACGCAGCAAAAAAAAUUAGCAAGACGUCAUCGUUUUCAUGUUGAGCAUUAGUGGCAUAAACGCCGUUAUAGAUCGAGCAUUAGCGGCGUUUUUCAGAAAAUACCGCUAAAGAUCAGCAUUAGCGGCGCUUUUAUAGAAAAUGCCGCUAUAGGUUGAGCAUUAGCGGUGUUUCUCCCAAAACACCGCAAAAAAAAUUAGCAAGACGUUGUCGUUUUCAUGUUGAGCAUUAGUGGCAUUAGCGGCGUUUUUUGAAAAAUGCUGCUAUCGGUUCAGCAUUAGUGGCGUUUCUCGUAAAACGCUGCAAAAGAAUCAGCAAGACAUCGUCGUUUUCAUGUUAAGGAUAUGUGGCAUUAGUGGCGUUUUUCCAAAAACGCCGCUAUAAAUCGAGCAUUAGAAAAACGCUGCAAAAAUUAUUUUAUCUAUCUAUUUCUUAUUUAAAUGAUUUAUUUAUAUUGAUUGAAAUACAAUUUAUUUUAAAUUGAAUAUUUAAAUUCUUCAGAAAAAAAUAAUGACAUGUAGAAAAAAUUUGAAAAUAAAAACAUAUAAAAAUAUAUGUUAAAAAUGAAAAAAAUUAAAAUACUAUUAUUUAAAAUAAUUUUAAAGCUUUUUGGGUAUAUGAUUGAUUGUUUGUGAAAAUAUAUAUUAAAUAAAUUCUUAUAUAAUUGUAAAAGAGAUAAUACUAAUUUUAAAAUAUUAAAUUAAUUAUCAUUAUAGUUCAGGGUUUAUAGUUUAUGAGUUAAUAUUUUAAGGUUUAGGGAUUUUGUGUUUAAAGAUUAUGGGUUUAAGGAUUGUGGCUUAAAGUUUAAGGAUUAGUGGGUAGAGGUUAAUGGUUAAGGGUUAUGGGUUUAAGGGUUAAGGGGAUAGGGGUUAAGGGGACAUGGGUUAGGGGUUUAUGGUUUAUGAGUUAAUAUUUUAAAGUUUAUGAAUUAUGGGUUUAGGGAUUAUGAUUUAUGGUUUAAGGGUUGAGGUUUAAAAUUUAAGGGUUAGUGGUUAAGGUUUAAGGUUUUAUGGUUUAAGGGUUAAGGGGAUAUGUGAUUAGGGUUACGGGUUUAGGGUUUAAAGGGACAUGGGUUAGGGUUUUAAGGUAAAUUAGUAUAAAAAUUUGAAAGGGUCUCGGCCCCUCUAAAAUGAAAAAUUUUUCGUUUAGGCUUUUUGAAAUUUUUAAAAAUUUUAAAGGUAAAAUUACAUUUUAUCCCUCUGAAAAUGGAAAAUUUUUGAUUUAAUCGUUCCAAUAUUAUAAAAAUAUAUGCUAUCAAAAUGAUGAGAUUGCAUUUUUACUUACAAUUUAGGGUUUAAUGUUUAGUAUUUUAAGUUUAUGGUUUAAGGUUUGUUGUUUUGGGCUUGGGGUUUGUUAUUUUGGGUUUAAGGUUUAGAGUAUAUAAUUUUAGGCUUUAGAUUUUAGGGUUUAAUGUCUAGUAUUCAAGUUUUAGGGGUUAAGAUUUGUUAUUUUGGGAUAUUGUUUGAAACAAAACAAACUAAUUAAUUUAAAUGAAUUUAUGAAAUAAUUAAACCUUUCAAAUAUAGAAACGAAGAAGAAAAUUGGAUUGAAUCUAACUAAAAAUUAAAUAUUUAGUACAUGUGUACUUCAAUUUGUCAAUUUUGUUGAAUUUUAUAAAUUUUGUUGAAUUUUUAAAAAUUAAUAGUAGGAAAGGCAUUAGCGGCUUUUUGGUUAUAAACGCCGCAAAAGGUAAACAAUAGCUGCGCUUUUGACAAAAUGCCUCAAAAAUUAAGCUUACUUAAAUGAAAACGGCACCGUUUUGUUGUGAGGACUUUAUUGCCAUUAGCGGCGCUAUGGUAAAAACGCCACAAAAAGUCGGACAUCAGCGGCAUUUUAGAUAAAAACGCCACAAAAAUAAAUUUACUUAAAAUUAAACGAUUCCGUUUUGUGGUGUGCCUUUAGCGGCGCUACAUUAAAAACGCCGCAAUAGUUGAUAUUUAGCGGCGCUAAGAAGAAACGCCACAAAUAAUCAUUUUAUUUUAUGUGAAACGGCCUCGUUUUUCUGUCAUCACUUUCCUUUCAUCCCAUGCCUAUACCCGAAAUCCCCAAAAUUUCCACCUACAACUUAAACCCCCCAAAUUAGUCCGAUUUGUUUUUUACCGAGACUUAUAUCCUACCCUAAAUCCCUUUCUCAUUUUCCCCAUUUUAUUUUCAGCAAAUCCCCUUCCCCAAAAUCCCUAACAUUUUCCCCAAGUAAUUUUUCUUCAAAUAAUUUUUCCCCAAAUCAGUUCCCCCAUCCCUCAAAUAUUGUUUCCCCAAAUCAGUUCCCGAAAUCGCCGUCGGCUGCCCUCUGCAUAGCCCCUCUGCUGCAUCUCCGUCGCCAGCCGUCUGCAUCUUGUUGGAGUGCGGUGAGUCUUUUUUUUUUAACAGAAAUUAACAACAUGAUACUUGUUGAUUCUAUAGCUUCGUGAUGAAUUUGUUGAAAAUUUUAAAACAUUUUUUAAUCUGUCCCGGCAUAUACACGUUAUAAAAGAAAGACUACCUUCACUUUUUGGCUUUAUCGUUUGUGGCUUUUUUGGAUUUUGAAUGAUUCGGUUUGCUGGUGAGCUUAGAUUCAGUAGUCUCAUGCCUUUCUUUGUUGUGAUUUUCUUUUAGGUUUUCUUCCCCUUUUUUUUAUCUGAUGAUUCUCUGUUUGUAUCUUUAAUUUUUUUCUCAAUAUGUUUGCAUGUAUUUGUGUUGAAUGUAGCUCUUCUUGUGCGACCAUCUCUUGCUCUUAUUGUUUAUUGUGUUUGUGUGCUCAUCCUUUUAUUGGUGUAAAAUGAAAUCAAACCUUCAAAAACAUAGAUUUUUCUUUCCAUUAAGUCAUUAUAUUUCCACGUGUUCUAAUUACUUUUAUUUUUCCCUUGUAGAUCACAAUGUUCUUGGAUCUAGGGAUUAAACUGCCUUUUUUUUCUUUUCAUUUCUGCCAUCUUUUAUUAAUUUUUAGAUUUUUGGUAUUUUUUCUAGUAGGGUAUGAUUUAUUCUUUAUAUUCAGUAGCAAAUUAGAUUUUUCCACUGUGAUGGCCUGAAAGGUGACUCUCUUAAAUGUGAUAGCAGAAAAAGUAUUCAUGAAAUAACUAAUUUAGUUGUUGUCUUACUUUUUAUGAUGUUAGUUUUCCAAAUUAAUUUAGUAACCAUGUUCUAUCUUUUGCCUAAUUAAGUUAUGCUCUUUGCAUUUGGUCAUUCAAUUUUGGCCUAUAAAGAAGAUUUGAAGGACGUGGGCGAGUGUUAAUAUUUUUAUAUCAGCCUUUGAUUCAAUUUUAAUAUUAACCAUUGAUUAAUUUUGGAUUGGGUUGGGAUCAAUUUCAGGAUGAUUAUAUAUAUAUUUAUAUAAAGGGUUUGAUUGUGAUUAGUGUUACGAGUUAAAUGAUACAAACUCAAACAGGGAUUUUUAUCUUGAUCAAGUUUCUAUAUAAAACAUAAUUAUAUUAUUUAAAUUUUAAAUAUAUUAUAAUUUUGUAAAAAGCUUAAUUUUCCCGCUUCUACACAUAUUAUUCCUGCUUAAAAAAUUCUUUCAAUUGAAAUUGCUUAAUUUUCUCUCUUCCACGACCAAAUUAUUUUUGGUUUAAACAAGUAUUCAUUUUCUCAAUUAAAAUGGUUAUAUAUUAGUGAAAAUUGUGAUUUUUGUUCGUAGAUUUGCCUUCGUUGUUCUUUAAUUGGCUGGAAAUCAUAUUUGAUUAAGAAUGAGAAUGACCAAAUUACUGAAAUGUUGCGUUUAUAACUAACAGUUGCAUUUUUUUAUAUGCAUAAGUUGAACUGGAAAUUUGAGUUCUUUAGUAAUUUGCUUUUUGCUUUGAGGAAUCAGAAAGCAAGUAGUCAAAGUAAUAUCUUGAGACAAACAGUAGCAGAUGCACAAACGUAGCCAGAACAGUAGAAAAAAAAAAAAUAUUGAAAUUCGGCUAUAAAAAAAGCCUGAAAACUGAUUGUAAAGGACUUUUUUUUUUUGAAAACAGAAAGAAAUAUAGACGAAGCAAUCAAAAAAUAUAACACAAAAUUUCAAAAAGGUGAUUCUUCUUUUAUUUAUUUUCUUUUUUAAUUUUUUUUAUAACAGAUUUGUCAACUGCAUCAAACUGGGUGGGAAAGGUGUGGGAAAUGAUAUAGAUGUAGAUGACAGCACUUCAAUAGAGGAAGUCUCAAGAAAUUUGGUCGCUGUACUAAAAGAUUAUCUUCAGGUCAGCUUCUUCUUCUUCAUUUGGAUAGUUAUAUGCUGAAUAACUAAUCAUGUUUCUAAUAAUUGUAAUUAGUUGGGAUUGUUGGAUUGGGCAGGAUCGGAUCAGCAAUAGCAAAAAGAGCCGAAGCUUUCAACUGCUCUAUCAGUUAUCACUCGAGAUCUAAGAAACCAAAUACAAACUACAAAUACUACUCAAAUACCCAGAAAGCCUAGAUAACUAGAAGGUUAGCUAAUCUUUUAUUUUUAUUUUCGUUUUUUUAAAUUACUAUUCUUGUUUAUCCUAAGAUUAUUUUUUAAUGGAUCAUUAAUGGAUCAUGUUUUUAACUUAUUUCAAGUCUGUCCUUAGAUUAUUUUUUUAAUUUGCUUAUGCUGUUUAUCCUUAGAGACUUGUUAUGCUGUUUUUAAUUUUUUUUAAUUUGCUUAUUCUGCUUAUCCUUGGGAUCUCUUUGCUACUGGUUCCAAUGCGUAUGUUCUUACUUACAUUAUUUGCAACCUUUUAAUAAUAUUAUUCCUCUCGACAUGUAUGCUUGCCACGUGAAUUUUUUCUACCAUAUUUUUGUAAUUUGUGAUUUAAUAUUUCUAUAUUUGUAUCACGAUUUUUAAUAAAUAAAUUAAUUAAUAUAAUAUGUCCCAUCUACUAUACAAAUCUUUAAUAAAAUAUUUUAUAUAGUUUUAAAGUUAAAUUUAAAUUAUUAUUGAAAUAUUCUCGUCCGUUUUAUCAAAAAUAUUAUUUUCCGUUUUAUCACAAAUAUUAUCGUCCGUUUUAUCAUUUAAGUUAAACUUUUUAUUUGAAAUAAAUAAGCUUUUAAGCUAAAUACGGAUGUCCACACAGUGCUUUAACAUGUACUUGAGAAAAGAUGACUUGUAAAACAUAAAUUAAAUUAAGUGUGGACUAUUGUACAUUUAUAUUUUAACUGCACCUGUGAUUUGUCAAAUAAAAACGAACGAUAUGUAUAUUAUUUAAUUAAAAUAAUUUUUAUAAAUAUUAUUUAAUUAAAUAUUUUUAAUCCUGCAACUUACCUAAAUUAGUUUACACCCAUUGGAUACUUGAUACUUGAUAUGUAUUAUCCAUGUGAUUUUUCACACUGUCAAAUUUUAUUUUUAUAAAUAAAAAACUUACAUAAUACAUAAAUAUAUUUGAUAUUAUAAUUUACAUAACUUACAAAACUUACAUAACUUAUAUAACUUAGAUAAAUAUAUAACUUAUAUAACUUAUCAUAAUAUCCCUAGUACUAGUACACAACAUCAAUGAGUUCAACAUGAUGUGAAUGAAGAUAUUUACGAAUAAUGAUAUAGUAAGAUUUUACGAUUUUUUAAUUAUAUGUAAUAUUAUAAUUUUAAUCUUGGUCAUGUUAUAUAAUUUAACUAUUUUAUAUGUACUAUUAUUGUUGUAAUUUGUUAUUAAAACUUCAACUAUUUUAUAUGUAUUGCAGGAAAAAUGCGUAGAAGAAGAUUACGAGAUUUAAGUAUUGUCCAGAAUACUCCAAAUUCGGAAGAAGCAAAUAGUGAACAGCAGACAGUUGUUGGGUCUUCGAAUGUGCCGGAGACACUUGACGAGCCUGGAGAAUUUCAAAGUAAUGUUAAGUUCAUUUUACAUGUGUUGACUUUUAUUAUUGAUUUGUCAAUUUUAAUAUAAUAAUAAUUUAUCGUUUUUUAGCUGAAAGUGGUGGGAUGCGCAAAGAUCGAGGACGUACGUUGCUUAAAGAUUUAUACGACUUAAAUCCUGUCGAGCGUGUCAAAUUAAGUAGAAACAGUCAUGGUCAACCUGUUGGAUCUAAAGCUCGACUUUUAGCAGUCUAUUUAGGCAUUUUAGCACGAAAUGCCAAUAUGUUGCCCAUCAACUACGAAUCAUGGCAUCACAUGCCUGAUAGCAACAAAAAUCAGGCUCUUGAUAAUAUUAAGGGAACAAAACGUGAAUGUAAUUUAUAAUACUUUGGCUUAAGUUUCAUUUAUAUUUACAUUCUAAACUUGUGUUUUUUUAGGAGAGAUUUGCUUUAGAGGUCUCUGAUGACUAUAUCAAGAAGGCAUUGGGUGAAAAAUGGAGAGACCAUAAAAGCAUUUUGAAAAAAUAAUAUUUUAAGAAAGACAUAAGCCUUGAGGAAAAAUUGCAAAAUGCCCUUCCGGGAAUGCUGAGGUACCAAUGAGAAGAUGCGGUUAGAUUCUGGAAUUCAAAGAAAGGAUAGGUAUUACGUUAUUUUAAACUCUUAUAUAUAGUGUUUACUAUAUACGUAAUAAUAAUUUCAUUAUGUAGGACCGUGAGCGAGUUGGAACAAGCAGACAAAAACAAAAAUUCACACACACGGCAAGGUCAAGAAGUUUUACUUCUGUAGUUGAGGCUGAGGUAUUAUGAAUUUAUUAAUUCUGUCAAAUAUUAAUGAUUUUUUACUAUUAAAUAAUAUUUUUACUACUAUAUUUUAGGAAGUCUCGUCUAGUCAAAAAAUUGGACGUCUUCAGUUUUUUGAGAUACGCAUAGGAAGAAAGAUGAGUCUCCUAUGACAUCCGAAGUUGGAGAAAUUAUGAUAUAUUUACUUAAUAAAAUUUGAUUUAUUAUAAAUAUUUAUAAUAUUUAAUUAUAAUGGUUUAAUUCGUCAUUAGUAGUUUUAAAUAAUGUAAAAUUAUGUUGCAUUCCUUUUUAUUAUAUAUUUCGUUUCUAACUCUUUGAUUGAUUUAUUAGGAGAAACUAAAGGAGAAGAAGGCGGAGUAUGAAGCGAUUGCUUCGACUGAUAGUUCUGUUAAUCUUGAGAACAUUGAUAACAGAAUUAUCACUGAAGUUUUGGGUUCUGAAAGGUAUGAUCGGGUUCGAUUUUAAGGAUCUGGUGUUAUCCCAACUUAAUAUUUUGGAUCUGGCUCCCAGCAAUACAUGCCUUCCGGGAGUCAAGCUCAAGCUGAAAUUCAGAGGUUAAGAGACCAAAUAGCUUAGAUGCAAGCGAACACGGUUAAGCAAAUUGCUGAGGUUCAAAAAAAAUAUGAAGAAUUCCAGCAACAACUUAGAGCGGAGGUAGCAGAGAGGGAGGCAGCGGCAGCAAUGAGGGAGGCAGCGGCAGCAGCGAGGGAGGCAGAGCAAAGCAGAAAGUACGAUGAGCUCCAGCUACAGCUUCAGCAUAUGAUGCAGAUGUUUCAGCAGUCACAAAAGUUGUCAUCUUAGAUAUUAGUUUUCUCGUUGUAAGAAUGUUUUUAACAUUUUCACAUUUAACAUUAUUUUAAGAAUAUUUUGAGUUUUACUUUAUUCAUUAAUUACAUCAUAUAUCUUUCGUUAAAUCUAAAGUAUCAUUUAGAUUUAAUAUUUUUGGUUAUACUUUUUGUGCUAAAUUUGCUGUUUUUUGUUGCAUUUCAUGCUAUAUUUGUUAUUUUUGGUUGGAUUUAAUGUAGGAAAGGUUGGAUAUUGGUGAAAAAUGUGCAUUGUAAAUCUGUCAAAAUUAGCGGCAUUUUUCUCGUAAAACGCUGUUAAAAGCAUGCUUUUCUUGCAAACGCCGCUAAAAGUCAUGACUUUUAGCGGCGCUUUUCCCACAAAUACCGCUAAAAGUCAUGAUUUUUAGUAGUGUUUUUUUGGAUAAACGUCGCAAAUUUUUGCGGCGUUUCCUAUAGCGGCGUUUUUUUGAGGGGUUUAAAGGUUAAAAAAAGUGCCGCUAAAAGUUUAUUUUCUUGUAGUGAAAGAUACAAAUAUUUUUAUAUUCACAAAAAGGAAUAUUGAAUUCCACCGAAUUUAGUCGCAAUAUCGACAUACCUAUUCAUUUGCUCAUUGAUGGCUUUCUUGAUGCAUCCAUGUCAAGUCCUUGUAGCAUGGAUACUCCAAGCAACCUCUAAUUUCAUUCCAUUAAUCAAUGCAACAAGAUAAAUUAAAUGCGGCUACUAAAAUACACUUUAAGAUAUUAUACAAUAUGAUAUUUAUAUCUUAUAAUAAGAGGUAACCCUCAUAAUUGUGAAAGGAUGUGUGUUGACCAUGACAUGCAUAUCCAUGCCCAUGUUUGCAAGAGAAAGCAAAAACCAUUUAGCUCAUUGGUCAAUUGAUUCAUUGCCCUAUAAAGCACCUGAUAAAAAUACACCAAAGUGGUAGAACCCCAACUAAAUUUAUCCACUGUCUCAAAAUCCUCAAAUAUCGGAAGAAACAUGGUAUGGACCUUAUUGUAAAACGACUUUGGCAACAACAUUCCUCCCCCCAUCCAAAGAAUCCAAGCUUUGGCAUAUCAAUCAUCUCCUCCACAGUUGCAUGCAAUGGGUGUACUUCAACUAGCACCUAUUUAAAUGUUUCUCUAGCUUCUCUCUUAAUGGAACGACACCUAUCAAUCGACUACACUAGUUCAUUAGAUUGAUUGCACUAAUUGUGAUUACUAACUCAUUGUCUAUUGAAAGGUCGACUAUUAAAGUGACAUUUUUAAGCGUGAUGGUCAUUUUCCCACACGAACAAUGAGAUGUAAAUGUUUACAACUAGACUUGUUCAUGGGUCGUGUAACACCCUUAACCUGUAUCCGUCGUCAGAACAGAAUUUUGGAGCAUUACUCGAAUUUACAUGUCAUUUAACAAAAAUUUCUGUUAAAUAUUUACCGAUUCAAUGCAUCAUAUACAUAAAUAUAUUAUCAUUCAAUUUAUUAAUUUAGACAAUAAAUCAAUUCAUUUCCUUCAAUUUGGUCAUUUUUUAGACAAUAAAUCAAUUCAUUUCCUUCAAUUUGGUCAUUUUUGAUAUCCUUACAAAAUUGCCCCUAAAAUUUUACUUUUAUUCAAUUUAGUCCCUGAGCCUAAAACAUACAAAUUAGCCAUGCUAGCUAAAUAUUCAUACAUAUUCUCCUCCUCCUCCUCUCCAUUCCUCAUCCUUAAUUUAUAUAACAUGCUACAAGUAACAUUACCAAUACUUUCACUAUUCACUUAUAUGUAUAUUCAAAACUAUCUAUUUGCAUCAUAGUCACUAAAUUACUUAUAUCUUUAGAUACAGACCUUGAAAUUAAGAUCCGCUAAUUUUAUCUGAAACUAGACUUACAUAUCUUCUUACCAUAAAAUUUUCAAAUUUUUUGGCUCAGCCAAUAAGUACAGUUUAUUCUUUAAAGUCACUUCUGUUCUGCUAUCUGACAGUUCUGACCCUUCUUUACUAAAAAUUAAUUAUCUCCUCGUACAAGAUUCAAAUGAUGUUCCUGUUUGUUUCUAUUGAAAAUAGACUUGUUCAGAAUUCUAAACAUAUAAAUUUAAGCCCAUAAUUAUUUUUCUCAAAUUUUUUUAUGAUUUUUCAAAGUCAGAACAGAGGAACCCAAAAUCAUUCUGACCUUGUCUCACAUAAUUUAUCAUAUUUCAUGAUUUAUAAUUCCAUUACUUACACCAUUUCUUCUCUAAGAAACUAGACUCAAUAAGCUUUAAUUUCAUAUUUUAUUUAACCUCUCAUUAAACUUCCACAAUUUUUGGUUAUUUUUCAAAGUUAGCCUACUGCUGCUGUCCAAAACGGUUUUAGUGAAAAAGGUUGUUUAACAAGUUUAUAAUACCCUUAUUCCCUUUCUCUACAAUAUUUCCCAUCACUUUCUUCUAUUUCGCUUCACUAACUCAUCAAGAUCAUAGAACCUUAUAUAAGAAGACUCUACUAUAACAUUAUUUCCAUGCUUUCUCAAUAAUAACAAAUUUAAAAAUAUAUUGAAAUAUUGAUGUACUUAUUUUAUUCUAUUGAUUCCAAUCUUUAAUUUGAUUAUUCUCUCUCCUUCAGCUUCUAUUCCUUGAAUCUAAUUUGAUAUUCUAACUCCCCAUAGUCUCCUUAACAUUUUUCUCCCUUGGUAGCUAUGAAAAUUCUUUUGAUUUCUAGGUGAAAAUUGUGAAUUUUUGGUAGAAGGACUAAAUUGUAAAGAAUGAAAAGUUUCUUUCUUCUCUUCUUUUCUUCCUAACGUGAAUGCAUGGAAAAUGGAUGAGAAUUUCCUCAUCUUUAUUUCUUUAUAUAUACUAAUAAAAUAAUAAUGAAAUAAUAAAAUAUAAUAUAAAAAUCAAAUUAAAAUAUUAAUAACGAAUAAUUAAUUAAUUAAUUAAUCUAAAAUAUCUCCAACAUCAUCAUUCUUUGUAGAUUUCUCUCUCUUCCAAUUGACCAUUUUGCCCUUUGUGAUCUUUUAAAAUUCCAUUCUUGAGUCAUCACUUAAUUUUGGUAAAAUUUCAAUUUAGUCCCUCAUAAUUCUUCACCUAUUCAAUUUGGUCCUAAUUCAUCAAUUUUCCUUGGUUUCUAAUCCUUCCACCCUUAAAAUAUUUGCACUAUUAGUCCUUUAACAUUUUCAUAUUUACCUUUAAUCCCUUAAAUUUUGAGUAUUUACUCUUGGGCCACAAAAAUUUUCUCACUUUUACAAUUUAGUCCUUUCUUGAAUGAAUAUGUCAUAAUAUACUUCCCAGUGACAUAACUCAAUUUUCCUUUUCUUGUUACUUUAUUUCCUUAUUUUACUCUAUGAAGAGUAAUAUCUUACUGUAGAAAUUUUCAGGGUGUUACAGGUCGGGCUACCCACCUAGGCUUGAAGGCUCGCCCAAAAUUUGGGAGGGUUUAGGCGAAAAUAUUAGGCCCAAUUAAAAUAAGGGCAAGGCUCAGACUUGAACAUUCAAGGCCCGAGCCCAACCCGUUUUUAGGUUUAUAAUAUUUUAUAUUAUGUUAUUUUUAUAUAUUAUGUAAUUUAGAACAUAUUAAAAAAAUAAACCUAUACUAAAUAUAUAAUACUACUCUAAUGUAAAUAUUAAAAUAAUAUUAAGAUAACUAUAUAAAAAACUAUAAAAUUAUUAAAAUAAAACAAAUAAAAUAAAUAUUUUUUUUAAAAAAGUAAAAAAUAACUUGACAACCUUCAAGUGUUGUUCGAUACGAUGAUGAAGCUCUUGAAAAUGCAAAUUGUGUCAGAUCAAAGAACUCAAUUUAUAGAUUGUUAAAAAUUUAUAAAAUAAUAAUAUUAAAAUUCAAAAAUCAUGAAAACAUUUCUGUAAAAAUUCAAAAUUGGAGAGAAUUUGAGUUGGAGAGUUUACCAUAUUCACUGCGUAUUUGUCAAUGUGCUCCACCAUUUUUCCCUUGAAAAUUAUAGAAGAGUAGGAAAAUUUAAGAAAGUUGGAGAGUUAUGGAAAAUUUUGAGUGAGGAUAAGAGAGAAAUGGAUGAAUUUUAUAGGGAAGAAGUUGAUAACCAUGGGAGUUGACUUCCAAUUUAUUUAAGUGGGUUAGUUACGAUUAACAUGCAAAUAAAAUGUUAAACUUAACACCUGUGAGUGUUGAGGUACUCCAUAUGUACUUUUGUAGUACUUUUCUCCUGACAUGAACAUCACUAAGCACAUGACAUUGACUGGAAUCGGAGUAAUCUUUCAAAAAAUUUUGUAUUAUAAAUCCUAAUAUAAAAGUGAAGAAAAAAUCUUAUGGUAGGUGUGAUUUGAGUGGAUUUAUUCGAUUUUUGAAAUUGUCAAUGAUAAUUAUUUUGAUUUUUUAUUUUCUAUUCUAACGUUGGUUUUGAAUUUUUGGAACAAAAUGAGUUUUAUUUUAUAUAUUUUGGGUUUCAAAAUAUAUUUUCAUAAAUAUUUUUUAAAAUUAACAUUUUCAAAUAAAUAAAAAAUUAAUCUCUUAUAAAUUAUUUUUAAUAUAAUAUUUUCACUAUUUAUAAUAUAUAAUAUUUAUUUUUACAUUAUAAAAACUAAAAUUAAUUAUAAAUUAAAUAAAAGCAAAAUUCAAUUAAGCUAAUUGUAAUUUGAGAAACUAUCCAAACAUCAUGUUUAUUUUUUAGGGUGGCAAAAAAUAUUGAGCUUGACAAGUCUCCAUCUACCCUGAUCUUGUAAGGGUACUAUUAUUUUCUUUUAAAAAAAACCCGUUGAGAAUGAGUUUAGAUAAAACCCACUUCAUAUGACAAGUCUUCAUAUAUUUACUAAAAUAUCUUUUUUUUUUUAAAUUUAAAUUUCUACUUAUUUUUUAUAUUUUAGUUCUGAUUUUAUAAGAAUUUAUAAUAUCUAUACUAUUAUUUAAGCUUGGAUUAAAUUAAUGUCCGUUGACUCGUGACACCAACUCGAUUAGAAAAAUUAUAAAAAUAUCUUUUUAUAACUAAAAUAAGUUAUGUUAUUAGAUAACAUUUUAGUCUUUUUAUUUAAAAUAAUAAUAAAAAAAUUUGUAAAAAAUUUGUACGUGGUUCGAUUUGAACCCGUGCUAGUUACAUUAAUAAAAAUUUAACUUUACCAUUAAAUCAAAAUUUUAUUUUAAUUUUAGUCCCAUCAAUUGAUUGAGUUGGUGUUACAAGUAGACCUGAUCAAGGGCUGGGCCACUCGGCCUGACCCGAAGGCCUGCCCAAAAAAUGAGAGGGUUCAGGCAAAAAUAUAGGCCAGAAAAAUGGGCUUGAACAAAAAGCGAGGCCCUUUUAGAAAAUGAGCCGAGCCUCGUGUAAAAUUUUUUUGGCCUGGGCCAGAGCCCGACUCAAAUUAUAUAAUAAAUAUUUUAUUUUAUUUUUAAUCAUUUUUAAUUUUUAACUUUACUUUUCUAAUUUCACUUUCACUUUUAAUUUGUGUAUUGUUUUAAAAAUUGUUUUAGUAUAAUUUUUAAUUUGUUUCUUAUUUUAAUAUUUAUUUUUAUGUUUUUAAAUGUAUUUGAUUUAUUAUAUUUUAAAUUUUUAUUUAAUAAAAUAAAUAAAAAAAUUAAUAUGGGCCAGGUCGAGUCGGGCUCUGACUUAACAAUUUUAUUUUGAGCUGAGCUUGAAUAAUUUUCAGGCCCAUAUUUUGGGCCGACCCGAGCCUGGGCCUAGAAUUUUACUUGAGCCCAACCCAAACAGAACCCAGUCCAACCCAUGAUCAGCUCUAAUUACAAGUCAAUUCUUGAUAUUAUGUUUUUACUUAUUUAUAUUUCAUUGUGCUCAAAAUUUAAUCAUUUUUUAUUUGUUAUUAUUAAUUAAUUUCAAACUAUACAUUUCAUUAUACUUCUAAACUAACAUCUAUGUUCUAAGUAUAUAAUUUCUAUGUCCAUACGCAUGAUAAAAAUUUUAAUAUUUCGAAUACUUUUAUAUAUUCCAUUAUAAUUUUUUAAUUUAAUAAUAUAUAUUAAAUUUUAUCACAUCUACAAUGUGAAGCGAAUGCGAGUAAAAAAUGUGUGCAACGAAAUAAAAUACAUAUUUAUUUAUAACAAAGCUUUAAUUAAAAUCACAGAGUUAAAAAAUAAAAGAUUAUAAUAUAAUAAAUAUUUUGAGUUCAAAUCUUGUUAUUUGAAAGUAUUUUUCUAGAUAUUAUAUAUAAAGACACAAACUUGGUAAAAAGCUAUUAUAAAAAAAAAUACAAUUGAAUGAUAAAUUUAAAAUUUUACUAGUGUAAUUGACAUAAAUUUUUUGCUUUUUUUAAACAAAAAAAUUCUCAAAUAAUACAACUUAUUUUCUAUUUUAAAUACAAAAGGGCAUUAAAAUAAUUUCCCCUAACCGAGUUAGUACCUGAUUGAUUCGUGACACCAACACAGUUAGAAGCUUAAAUAAUAGUAUAAAUUUAGUUUAAUUUUGUAAAAAUAAUAUUUAGUUUAAUUUUGAAAAAAUAAAAUAAAAUAAACAUUAGUUAAAAUUUCAAAGCUUAAUGGUUAUCACAGGCAAAGGUGUGAUAAGGUAAGAAUUGGCUACUCCAUGGAAUGAGUAUUCCUUCCAUCCAACCAAAACUGCUCUGCUUGAACAUAGCAUUUGAGUUUUGAACUCCACUCGCACUUCCUAAACUAUGCCCUUGCUUUACAUAUUCACUUCAAUGGUAAUAAUGCACUAGAAACAAGAAGGACAAGCAUGCAAGUAACUUGAGAUGAUCCAAAAGUAUAUAUUUAUGUUUUAGAAUAUCCAACAAUCAGAUUCCAAACUCUUUUUUUUUUAUGGGAUAAGAGCUCAAGUAUACAGAUGCAGAAGUCAAUAUAGAAGAUAAAGAGAGAAACUGUCACAGAUUUUUCUCAACCUGGAUUAUUUGCGAGCUUCAGUUUUCUUCUGUUCUCUCGCUGUAUGAACAAAUAGAAAUAUUAUCAGCUUUCAAAUGAAAUUGCAAUAUUCCUAUAAAGCAGGUCACUCUGAUUUUAGAUUCCAUAUCUAAUCUAUGUUGCUCCGACUCUUUGUUUUUCUUGUGUCAAAUAAUCAUGUACGACACAUUUAGACAUGGAUAUCGAUAAUUCGAUAUGACUCUCCAUGUCAGCCUUCAAAAAAAAUUUAGCAAAAAUGAACAUACCUGUGUCAGACACAUCUCCGUAUCCAACACUUACACCUAAGUUCAAGCAAUGAAGAAUCUUAUACCAAUUCUCUAAUAUAAGAAAUGUUGCAGUAAUAAUUAACUAACCAGAAAGGGAGCAUUAGAAGAUGCGUGCAUUAUAAUAUAAAGGAGAGAUAAUAGUGACGGGAACCAUACCAGCCUUCUCUUCCUCUCUCUUCUUAGCAGCUUCUGCCCUUUGUUGUCGUAUCAGGGCUAAGCGCUCUGCAAUAAAAUACAUGAAUGCAAACAUCAGAAAAUAGGGAAGAGAUGAGAAAAAGAAAUGGAGGAGUUGACGUCAAGGUGAUAACUUCAUAUUAUGCUGAUAUAAACGUCUCCACCAAAUCAGAAAAACCAACUCAUUCAUAUUUUAUACAUGAAAACCGGCAUAAUUCAUCUCUCUACCUCUUACUUCUAAACACUGAAAGACUGAUCUAGAUUGCUAUGUGGUAAAGAAAAAAAACAUAUGCAGUUUUGCACCUAACCUAUAAGAGACUUCCUCAGUUUUUGUUCAGUUCAACUUCCCAUCAUUGUUAACAAAGAUAUAAUUAAGUUGUAUUCAUUUUACUACCUGAGAAUAUAGCACUUACGGCAGGAGUAAACCAUUUUAAAAAGAACAUCCAAGUAAAAGAGUUUAUAUUUCUCACAAAUCUUUUCCCAUAGACUCCUGUCAUAUUUUAUGACCACAUAUACGAGUAGACAGCAAGAGAAAUCAAGUUACAUAUAUGUACUCUCCUUAGCAAUCAAGUAUUUCAUCAGUACCUCGAUGCUCCAUAUAAUAUUUAUAACAUGGACAAUGAUCUUCUAUUGAUGCUUUAGGUAAAACAUUUUAUCAUUUGUGUCACACCUAUAUUGAGGAUGGUUUUAUGCACAACAUAUGGCACUACUAUAAUAACUCAAAAGGAGAUGAGUUAUUGUUAUCAUUAUUUUCGUCUUCAGAGCCCUAUGAAUGAACAUAAAUUCAACCUUAGCUAUACAUUUUCAAAUUCAGUUAACCACAAAGAAGCAAACCAGUCCACUGAAAGGACAUAAAAAAGCCUUGUUUAAGUAUAAUGAUAUUUUCCAGGGCUAUUGCAAGCCCAUGGCAACUUCAUAAACAUUCAAUUAGGGUUACACUACAGUUUAAACCUGAUGCUAGAGACAAAACAAUUCGGGAAUCAUAUCCAUUAGUUACCUAAAUCUUUUCUUGCUUGUUCAGUUUUCCCUUGUUCCUGCAGCUUCAUAUAUCGUUCAUGUGCUUUUUGCUUUUCUAUUUCCUCUCUGCAGUCAUUAAUAGUACAACAAGAGCAUAAUCUAAGUUCGUCUCAAAGGAAAUAAGUAAUUUGAAUAUAAAAUUACAUCCUUUAACAAAAAGUCAUAAAAAGUAUAUGGGUAUCUUCGAAAUAUGAAGAUUCAAAAGCAAGAACACCAUAUCUUGAAGCAAAUAAUCAACAGCAGUUUCAAUAAAAAUGAUGAAAAGGCUUCUACUCAUGUUGAAAUAACAUGGAAAAAUAUUUAAUCAUAUCCUGUCCCUUUUCCAACUAUGAUCAUAAUCUACAAAUAUUCGGUUGCAGAUGAAGUGCUUAUGCAAUCAAAAGUUUGUGCCAGUUGGACAUGAUAAAGCAGUGAUCAGUCAGAUUCGAUUAAUAAAGAGAAUUACAAACCUUUCACGCCUUGAUAGUUCAGUUGUUCUCCCCAUCUGGAACAUAAAUUUUCAAGUUAUCAAUCGAGUUAUAAAUUCAUAAAUUUAUCUAUGAUUAAGUACGGUCUUCGUACAGCACAGGAGCAUUUGUUGAACUUACAUCAACAUCUUUAGCUUUGACAUUCUUUUGUUUGGCCAAAUUUGGAUUCUCAAUCUCAAUAAGCCCUUGAGUACCCUUUCGUUUCUGUCAUGUCAGCACCAAUAUCAAACAGUAUAAAAGGUAAAUAGGACAAUAAGCAAUUAUUGCAAAUGGAACCAAUGCCAUUUACAUUAGACCAAGAAAGGGCAAAAUGUAAUGACCUCGGGCUCUUCUUCUACUUCCUCUUCAGACUCUUCUUCUUCUUCUUCCUCUACUUCGGCUUCUUCCUAGAAUGAAGAUAAAAUACCAUCUCAUCUACCAAGUAAAAUUAAGUACAAAACACACACACACAUGCACAUCCAUAACGUGAAGAAAGAGAAGCAUAAGAACUAAGCUAAUAUAUUCAAGAAAAUAAACUAAAAUUUUCAAUUAAACACUCGACACAAUUGAUUACAAAGCAUGAAAAAGAAAAUAGCUAUUAUCAAACUUAUUGCCAAUAUUAAUGAAUUCUUAUUCAUUUGUCAUGUCCACAUUAUUAGAGUAUUAAGCAACUCAGCUUAGGUCGGUUAACAGAUUAGUUUAUGUUUGUUAAGUCAGUGAGGGUUUGUUUAGCUACAGUUAUUUAGUUAUCAACUCCUAUCAGUGUAUAUAAAAGCUGUGCUAAUCUCUGAUCAAAUAAUAAGAAAUCACAUUAUUGUUUUCCAGUAUGCUGCUUCUUUUUUCUUGCUUUCUUAGCUAGUUUCCUAGUUGCCAAACAGCUUUGACAGUUUGUAGCUAUAGCUUUACAUGGUAUCAGAGCUUCUGUUUUUCCUCACGGAUUUGAUUCUCUACUCGACUGUGGGUUCCAUGGCUCUUCCCACUAGCCCUUCAUCUGUCUCAGUCAUUGCACCUAUGAUACCUCCUGCUUCUUCCACAGAUGGAGUUUUUGAUAGUCAGCUCUUUUCCACCAAGAAGGUUAACAUUGAGAAUUCAAAUUACUUGUUGUGGCAACAAGUACUGCUUGCUCUCAAGAUUCACAAACUUCAGAAUUUUCUUAAUGUCUCCAUUCUUCCUCCUCAACAGUUCACUAAGGAUGUAGCUGGGGUGACUAAGGAGAAUCCUGAUUUUGAGAGGUUUGAGCAGCAGGGCAAUGCCCUUGCCUCUUGGGUCUUGUCUACUGUUAAUCAAGAGGUACUCUCGCAUCUAAUUAGUAUGGACUCUACUAUUCAGAUCCGGAGUACUCUUGCUAGUAUCUAUGGUAGUAAGAUCACUUCUAGGUUAAUGUUCUCUAGACGUGCUUUGCAUUCUCAACGAAAAGGUGAUCUCUUCUUGAAAAAGUUUUUGAUGAAGAUCAAGGCCUAUUGUGAAAGUCUGCUAGCUGUGGUGAGGUUAUUAGUGAGCAUGAGCAUGUUACAGCGAUUCUUAAUGGCCGUUCUUCAGAUUUUGAGUCUGUUAUUACAGUCGAGGUCCAUUUCUGGCUUCGGUCCAUUUCUAUGUCAAGGGCGUGGUUGAUCUUCAGGUUCUUGAAUUCAGUGUCAACUUUGUGGCAAAACAGGUCAUCUCGUUGACCACUGUUAUUAUCAUUUCGAUGCCUAAUAUAAAAGCACAAAAUACAGAGCAACCUGAGGCAAAUAUGUGUAAUUUUGGUGUUGGGCCUCAAGUGCAAUCUUGGAUGCCCUUGUUCAAGCCUCCAAUGCUUGUUUUUAAUUCGUCACCUGUUGCAAGUUCACAAGGUGUUUGGUCUUUUUCUCCAGGCCCUUCUCCUUCUUGGUCCAAUCCAUUUGGUGCAAGUUCUAAGUUGCUUGUGAGUUCUCCUGCUCUAAUUCCUAGUCCUCAAGCCUAUAUUGCUACACCUGAAAUUGUUGGGGACAAUGCUUGGUACCCUGAUUCUAGCGUAACACAUUAUCUCACACAUGCAACUGCCUCAAUAGGCGAUAGUGCAUCAAACAGUGGUCCGUAAGGUCUAUGUUGGUAAUGGCAGUGCUAUACCUGAUAUGCAUGUUGGGCAAUCAUCUUUGCUUACUUGUUCUAGACCACUACAUAUACGUUCUUUGUUGAUUGUUCUUGGCAUAACCAAGAAUCUGUUAUCCGUGUCCAAGUUCACAAAGGACAAUCAGGUGUUGUUUGAGUUUCUUCCCACUCACUGUCGGGUUCACAAUUUGAGAAGCAGAGACGUUCUUCUCCAUGGACCGGUUUCUUAAUAGACUUUACAAACUGCAUCUGAAUGGUUCUGUUAAGGCUCCUGCUUCUUCCAUUUCAGCUGAAUGUUGUGUAUUUGAGAAAGUUGAUCCUUUAGAUGUGUGGCACUCCAGGUUAUGCCAUCCUUGUUCUCUACACUUGUGAAUGCAUUGCAUCACUGUAAUGUUUCUUUUCAAUCCAAUAAAGAUAACUUUGUGUGUGUUGCAUGUCAUUUGGGAAAGGAACAUAAAUUGUCUUUUUCUCAGUCUAUGUCUGAGUACACUGCCCCUCUUCAGUUGGUAGCUGCUGAUGUGUGGGGACCAGCUCCAGUUCCUUCCAAUGGGUUCUCUUACCAUGUUGCUUUUACUGAUGCCUGCACUUGAUACACUAGGGUGUAUUUUUUGAAGAAGAAACUGGAAGUGCCAUCCAUGUUUGUUCAGUUUCAAAGACAAGCGGAAAGGCUUCUGGUUGUAAGCUUAACACUCUUCAAACAGAUGGGAGAGGAGCGUUUCAAGCUUUAAAGUCUUACUUGGCACUACAUGGUAUUUCUCAUCGACUUACCUGUCCCUAUACCUCUGAACAAAAUGGACUGGUUGAAUGAAAGCACAGGCAGAUUGUUGAUAAACAAAAUUGACUUACCUUUCCCUAUGCUUGCUCAUGCUUUCAUGCCUCUGACUUAUUGGAAUGAUGCAUUUAGCAAUGCAGUAUCUUUGAUAAACAGGUUGCCUUCUCUUCCCUUAGGAAAUGUGUCACCCUAUGAAAAGCUGUUUAGUGUCAAACCUAACUGUUCUUUCCUUGGAGUUUUCGGUUGUCUUUGCUUUCCUAACCUCAAACCUUAUAAUGCUAAUAAGUUACAGUGUAGAUCCACCCAAUGUAUUUUUCUUGGUUAUUCCUCACUACACAAAGGCUAUCGUUGUCGUGAUAGUACUAGAAAAGUCUACGAGUCUUGUCAUGUUACAUUUCCUUUCAAAACUGCUUCCAAGUCUGUACCACUCCCUUCCUCUAAACCCUCACAUACUUCCUCUACUUUGCUUGUUUUUCCACCGUUGUCUUCCUCUGUGACCACUUCUUCAUUUUCCAACAGCUCUCGUGCAUCUCUUGUCUCAGCUUCUUUACCUAAACCUUCUAGUUCCUCACCUACAGUUUCUGUGAUGACAUUAUUGUUUUCCAGUAUGCUGCUUCUACUUUCUUGCUUUCUCAGUUAGUUUCCUAGCUGCCAAACGGCUUUGACAGUUCGUAGCUAUAGUUUUACACAUCUAAGCCAAAUUCAAUUUUUUUUCACCAUUCCAAGCAUCUAAAUGUGAUAACUGAAAGGUAGACCUCCAAACAAAUAAAGUCCAAUCCAAACUAAUAUUCCCUUCAAAAUAAGUAAUAACAAAGAUGAUAAGAAAUAACCCAAACAGCCAAAACCCAAGAAAACUACAACAUUCAACCCAUCAUCUACCUUACAAGAAAAGGGACCGAACAUAACUUGGCAAAAGUUCAAACAAAGCAUCGAUUUUGGUUUUUCAAACUUCGUAGUGUUUUCUUCUUCACAAAAAUCACUCUCAAGAUAAGUAAUCACUUCUUUUCAGGCAAUAUAUAGCAACAAUACAUGAUAACAACAACAGAUUUCCAUAAAAGAAAGUUAACUAAUAACAAUCAAAAACUAAUUUCACCGUAUAUAUUUUAUUCUCCAAAUUUAUAAUCACAAAUGAAUUAAAAUUAGCAUAAAAAUCUUACCUUCUUAAAAGUACGGGGACGAGCAGAGGUACCAGCACCUGAAACCAUUAAAACAUUAGAACAAAACAAAAACAAAGUGAGAUUAAUGAUAAAAAGUUAUAAAACCACUUAAGAAAACCACAAAGAAUUAAAAUAUUUCUUUCUGGUCUCUCAAUUUGACUCAAAGCUCAAAUUUUUAGCCACACUGGUUAAAAGAAACAAAAGUAUUUAAACAUAUUAAGAAAGAAAAAAAUGGAAUCUAAUAAUUCAUCCACUUAAUGCAGAAUCAUUUCUAAGUUUCUUCAAAACUAAGACUUAAGUUUAAAAAUACAAAAUUUGAAAUUUAAAGUACAAAAAAGAAGAAGAAGAUAAAAUUCAAUACGAUAGAACUACCAAUCCAACAGUUGAAAGCUUGGUUAGAUCAGAUACCUUUUAAAACCGAAUGGAAAUACGCAUAAGUACAUCACAUGCAAACGAAUUAAAAAAAUACCCAAAAAGCUUCGAAUCUAACAAUUCAUCCUUGAAAUUUCAGAGUCAUAUCUAAGUUCAUUAAAACCCAAAACUUAAGUUUAAAAGUAGAAAAUUUUUAAGUAAAAAUUUCCCUAUUUUCUCUAUUUAGGAACUAAAAUUUCUCAAUCACAGACACACACAAAAAAGAAAAAUCAAUACGCUAGAGCUACUGAUCCAGAAGCUGAAAGCUAGGUUAGAUCGAAUACCAGAAAAGUGUAUUACAAUACGUAUGAAAUACGUACAUGCAAAGGAAUUAAUUAAAAAAGUAUAUAAAUACGUAGAAAAGGAAAGAGGCAGAGUACGUACGGAGCUCUUCAGGAGUGGAGAAGUGGCGGUGACCGGUGGGCUUGCCCUUGAAUUUUCCUCUUCCCAUUUUAAUUUUAAUUUUAAUAUAUAUUUUCUGAUUAAAAAUAGAAAUGAAGAAGCAGUAGAAGGUGAACGUGAGACCUGAGGCCUGUGACGGGAGAUUUGUUUCUUAAGUACAUAAUUUUAUGCCUGUUAAGAAUUAGAUUCUUACUCUAAAGUUUAAAAAGUUUUAAAAGGGUUUAUUGAUAUAAUAAACCCUUAAACUUUUUUUAAAAAAUCAAUUAAACCUUUUUCAAACUUUUUGUAUAAUUGAGCUUCAAUUAAUAAAAUUGACUAAUUAUUCUUUUGAAAAAUGUUAAUUGUUAGUAUUUAACAGUAAAUUGACACCUCAAUGUUAGGUCGAAAAAAAGUUAAAAAAUAUUUUAAAAUAAGUACAAAGAAUUUGGAUUAAGUGAUUGUUCAUAUUCAUUUGAAUCUAGAUAAACAUCUCUCUAGAUUCAUUUUAGAAUUAUAAAAACUGUAAAUUUUUAUUAAAAUUCCUAAAAAGUAUUAGAAAUCCUAAAAAGUAUUAGAAAUUAAUUAAAAACCAGGAAAUAUUAUAAAAUUUAUAAAUAAUAAUUCAUUAAAAAUUCAUAAAAUAAUUAGAAAAAAAUAAUUUAUAAAUAUUAUUAGAAAUUAAAUAAAACUAUAAAAAUUAUAAAAAUAAAUUAGUUUUAUAAAAUUUCAUAAAAAUUAUUCUUCUCAUUUUGAUUAAAUUAUUUAACUAAUAUAACUUAUGAAAAUUAAAAAUGAAAGGAAAAAGUAUAAAAAUAAUUAAGCUCUAUUUUAUAAUAUAAAUUGUUGAUAUUCAUUUUUUUGGUUUAAAAUAUAAAAAUAACAAAUUAUAUUUAAAAAUUUUAUAAAAUCUUAUGAUUAAUUAAUUUCUAAUAUUUUUUUAUAAAUUUCUAAUAUUUUUUAUAAUUUUAAUGAUUUUAAUCAUUUUUUAUUUGUUUUGUAAUUCUAAAAUGUAUUUGGACAAAUGGUUGUCCUUAAUCAAAUGAACCUAAAUAGCCAUUUGUCUAGAUUUAUUGUGUACUUAUUUUAAAAAUAAUUUUAUGAUAUUUAAAUUUUUUUUUGCUGACGUUGUGUCUAUUAACAACAAUGUUUAUGUUGUCAUUAAAUACUAAUGGUCAACAUUAACUAAAGGGCCUAUUUAGCCAGUUUUGUUAGUUCAAUGACUCAAUUGGGUGCAAAAAGUUUGAAGGGUGUAAUUGAUUGUUUUGAAAAUGUAACAUCCUAUACCUGACUCGAGCACACAUGACCCUCACAGCUUUGUUCUUGGGAGCGCCCAUACACCCCCAAAAGGCUUCUUACCACUUAAGUAUUGCUACCCCUUUAUAUAGUCCAGGUCUCUCUCAUGCUUUGUUGAUGUGGGAUUCGUUUAAGGUGUUACAAUCAUAUCUCUUAAGGAUUCAACAUCCUUGUUGAGGUUUGCCCCACCAUCGCUCAAGAGGCAUAGCGAGUGGUUCUGAUACCAAUAAAUGUAACACCUUAAACCCGGCCUAGAAGUUAUAUCUAGAUUUGGUAAUGUUAUUAUAAGUUCGUUUAAAAACCCAAAAUUCGUUGAUUUUGAAAAGACAUCAUUAGAUUUUGUCACGUGAAAAUCCAACUUGUUUGAAAACACAUCUUAGUUUUCUGUUUUUGUAAAAUGUUGUUUGUUUACACUUUCUAAAACGUAUAAGUUUAUAGUGAAAUUCUUAAUGCAUUAGGUUUUUAAAAAUAUCAUUUGUUGUUUUGAAAAUUCAUUGCUUCACAGGCAAACUGAGCGUCAUCAAUAAAAACGGUUUAAACAAUUUUAAAUGGAAAACAAUAAUAAAGUCCAAAACCAAAACAGUCCCAACUGUCUAAACAAUUCAAACUUUACAAAAAACCUUAAUUCCAAAUUUAAGUAAAUCAAAUAUACUAAAUUAUUAAAACCGAGCUCCCGUUACAUCGAUCCGCCUAAGUCUGAUGGUUACCUGAAAGUGUCAAACAACCAAAAAGUGAGUUUUUUGAAACUCAGUGUGUAACAUACAAAUUUUUAACAGCAUAAAUUAGCUAGACAAAAAAAUCAAAAAUAGAACAUAUCAGAGUAAUACAUAUGCAUAAAUAUAAUCCUACUUCCAUCAGCUACACACCAACUCCGAUCAUUCCAGCACACCAUAUGGGGUAUGAAACACCCAUCCAACCCUACACACCACUCAGUGUCGGUAUGACACUUUUCAGAAUAUUUGCAGCUUACCUUCCAAAUCAAUAGGCGAAUUAUCGCUGUAUAUAGAAAUAGUUGUGGCUGUGCCACCAGAUAUGGUAGAUAAUCAAACUGCUCACAUUUCCUCCAAUACAUAAAUCUCGUCCCAAAUGCAAAUACAAAACUAACAAGUAUCAAAUAUGUUUAUAAUUUACAUGCUUAUCGUGACAGAUACUGUAACGACCCUAUAGUCAAGGGUGACUGAAAGUAAAUUCUUGGAACUUCAUUCCCGUAAAUCAGACUCGUAAAUAUUUAUUAUAAAUAUUUACGAAGUUAGUUGUGAAGUUAAUUAGGUUUCGAUUAAGUAAAUUUGCAUGAAUUAAAAGUUAUUAUAGUAUAAGGACUAAAUCGCAUAUAGAGUAAAAGUUCAAUUAUAGAUUAAAAAUCAAUUGAGGGAUUAAAGUGGUAAUUAUACCUUUAUAUUGGGCAGUGGACGGCAUUAAUGGGGUAUUUAUAUAUAUAUAAUAGUUAAUAUAUAUAUGUUAUAUAUUAUGAAUUAUAAAAUGAAAUUAAUAUAUAUAAAGAUUAUAAUAAUAAUAAAAGUAAUAAUAAUAAAAGAAAGAAUAAAGAAAAAGAAUUAUAAAGACAUGCAAAAGUUUGAGAAAGAAAAGAAAGAAGAUAAGAAGGGUUAACGCAUAGCCUAGGGACUUUUAGGGUUCAAACUUCAAUUGGUUAGUCAAUUUAGUCUCUUUUCUUGUAAUUUUUAUAUUUUUGGAAUUUUGGUGUUUAGUACUAACCGGCCUAUGUUGAAAUUUUAGCAAUUAUUAAGAUUCUAAAUGUUGUUAAUGUUGAAUAGUUUUAGUAUUAGGGAUUAAAUUGAUAGAUUUUUAAGCUAGAAAUGAAAAAGGAUUAAAUUGUAAAACAAAUAGUAAAUUUUGAGCAAUAGGGACUAAAUUGUAAAAAAAUUCAAAAUUUAGGGGUUUAAUUGAAAGUAAGGAGUUAAAUUUAGUUUAAAGUGAAAUUUGUAUGAGAAUAUAGUAUUAAAUAUAAAGAAUAAAAAUUAGUCUCCAUUUAGGGAAUAAAUUGAAAUUUAAGCAAUUAUUGAGUAAAAAUUGAAAUACUCAAUGUGAAAUUAAAUUGUGUUGUAUUGAUGUAUUUUAAUUGUUUUAAUUCCAUAGCUAACGUCGUACUGAAAUCCUCGACUAAAAAGGGUAAGGAUAAAAUUGACAUCGAAUAGCUCGGAAUCCACGGUUUGUAUUUCUAUAAAUUCGAACCUAGUUGUCAAUUAUUAGAAUUCGAUUUAAUGCAUUUGGUAAGUGUGUGAGGUGAGUAUUUGGCAUUUUGAUAGUUGAUUGAAAUGGAUUGAAUUGGUACAUACAUUAUGAAUGUAUUGAUUAUUUGAAUUGAAAUGAAUAUAUAUACAAAUAUGAGAAUUGGAUAUUGGUUGAAUUUGAAAUGUGAAAUUAAACUCUAUUAACUGUAUCGGGCUGAGUUGGAUAUAGAUGGCAUGCCAUAGGAUAAGAAGAGUUUAGAGAUUUCUUCGACUUUGAGUCGAUGAGGUACUAGGUUCCAAUUUACUUCGAUUUAACCAAUGAGACACUAGGUGUCAAUUUAUAUAGCGCUGGGCGCAGUUAUUACUUCAGAUUCAUUCGAUAAGGCACUGGGUGCCAAACUCGUGUGUUGGUUGGAUCCGUGUAUCCGUCUGAGUCCGAAUCAUGUUAAUAGGGGUAAAUAAAUAAUAAAGUUCUAUAAUUGAUAUUGAAAUGGCAUGGUAUGAGAAAUGGAAGUGAUAUAGUGAAUUGAAAAUAGAAUGUGAAAUAUGUUGUAAAUACAUGGAAUAUAUGAGUUAUAUACUCAUGAACUGAAUAUGGAAUGGAUAAUGUUAUUGUUUAAUUGAAAUGUGGAUUGAUAUGUGAAAAGCUAUUUAUAUAGCUAGAAAUGUGUAUUGAGAUAUUUGUUAAACAAAACAAAUAUGAUAGCAUGUGAAAUUGAAAUAAUGGUAUAUGACAAAUACAAGCUUAGACAACAUUAUGUUCAUAUAAUUCAAAUUAUGCAUUUUUGUAUCAUUAUAUUCUUAAUUGUUCAGAUUAUAGAAAUAUCACUGAGUUUUACUCAAUGUACGGUUUUGUUUUCCUUGCACAGGUUAGGUACUUCACUUUUGAUAGUCGAUUUAGAUCCAGCAACAAUCCCGACUCAAAUGUGGUUAUGUUUAUCUUUUAUGUUGGCAUGUACCUAGGAUGUCUAGUUGAUAGUUAUUUAUGGAUGAAAUGUAAAUGAAGCAUAAGUGUUAUGUUGGUUUGGUAUAUAUAUAUGUAACCAUGUGUUUUUGUUUGAAGCCAUAAUAUGGUAUGUUGAAUUGAACCAAUGCUUUUACUCAAUGGUUUGGCAUAUUUGUAAUUUUGAUUUGAAUGAUACAUUGAUGAUAUGUUUUGAUGAUAUAAAUGUGGUACCAAUGAGGGUAUAUUACUUAGGCACUAGGAUGAUUAUUUUGGGCAUGUUCUGAAUGUGUUUGAUCGUGGUUUGAAUAGGUUAAACGAAUGGUUUUUGAGUUGCUUAAUGCCCAAGCAAGUAGAAAAUGGUAAACUUGUAGUUUAAGGCACAUUUUAGGUCCACAUGGCCAGACACAGGCAUGUGACUUGGCCGUGUGAGACACACAGCUAGCACACGGGCGUGCGAGGCCAUUUCAAAGGGUACACGGCUUGGCACACGGGCAUAUGGCUUGGCUGUGUGACCCAAUUCAGUGAGUUACACGGGCACAAUCAUGGGCUGGGACACGGCCAGGCACACGGGCGUGUGACUUGGUCAUGUGAGUCACAUGGCCUGGCCACACGGCCGUGUGACCCCUAUUGUGAAAAUUUUUGUAAUUAAUUUCCUAAACUUUUAGAAUUGUUUCAAAUUAGUCCCUACCUAUUUUUAAACUAUUUUUAAGGUCCCGUAGACUCGUAAUAAGGGUUGUGAGAGUAGCUUUUACUCUGAAUUGGAAUGGAUUAGCAAACCUAUAUUAGGUGUAUUCUACUAAAAUUAUCGAAGAUAAAUUAAAAAGAUAAUCGUAGACGGGGUACGGACUAAUACUUUGAUGCUAAUGAUUGGAAUAGUCUUGUAUGUAUCCGAAUUCGGACAUUCUAGAAGGGAUAAAUAGUGAUAAGAGUGUAGAUAGUGGAAGACCAAGUUUAGAAAUGCAUAGCAUAAUUUAUUAUUCGAAUGUAUAAUAAUCUAGCAUGAAAGUAUUAGAUUGUCGUAAUCUGCCCCUGCAUAUUACAAUGUUAUUAGUUAAUUUAUAUGUUGAUUAUGAUUGAAUUAAUUGUUUGAUUUGUUAGUAAUACUCGUGACCUUAAACCAUCGUCGGAGAGGGGUUAGGAGUGUUACAGAUAUAGAAAAUACAUAAUGUUUUCUUCAGAUCGUACAAAGUAUAUUAUAGAUUUAUUCAUAUCAUUUUAGUUCAGAUAUGUGAAUAAAUAUUUAAGUUGACACUAGCAAAUGGCCUAAUUCAUGCUUUAUGGCUUAAUUAAUAAAAUACAGACCCUAUAGAAGGCUUACAUUUGAUCGAAAUGUUGUUUAUGACCUCAAGGAAAAUUUUAGAAUUUUGGUCCCAAACGUCCUUGUGGCGCACAUGGUCCAUUGGCCUAGACCGUGUAGCUCAACAGUUUGCACAUAGCUUGUCACACGAUCGUGUGAUGUCGGAAGAGUAGUUUUUCGGCUUUCGCUGCUCGUUGUUUUUCAUGUUUUCCGUUACACACCUAAUUCAAUUUUUGCUGCAAAUCCAAAGACGAACUCCUAGUACCUAUAACCACUAUUCAAAUGAAAUAAUUUAUAGAUUUCCUUCAAAUCCAAAUGCUAAACUUAAUCCAACAUCGGUGCUUAAACUUCAACAUUGAAAAUUCAACUACAAUAGCAACAAAUUCAGCCAUUUACCCUCGAAAGCAACAAAUUCACUCAACUAAAUCAUUAGAGGUGCACCUACUGUGUCAGUAUUCUCCCCUAAUCGAUCAUUAACAAUGAAUAAACACUGUCAAAUAAUCUCUUCACUUAAAAAGAAACCCCUAAUUACUCAUCAAAAACAAAAAUAACCAUUUACCCUAGCUUGAAUACUUACCGAAAUAGAACAAUAAGGAUAGAAUUGAAAGUCAACGAUUUAUGAACAGAGCAGAAUUGACGAAAUAGCAGCAAGAAAACCAAAAUCAAACUUGAAUUCACUUGGCAAAGAAAAAUAGCAAAAACAGCGGUAGAUAAAGGAAACAAGAAAAAGUAAAAAGAAGAAAUGUGGGGAGAUGAAGCAAAUUUUAUUUUUAACUUAUCCUAAUCUGUUACCCUUAGAAAUUGUAGGACAGGCCAUAUGUGAACUAUUGAGCCACACGAUCUGGGCCAAUUGGGCCGUGUGGGCCACAAGGGCGUGUGUGAGACUAUGUGCCAGACCGUGUGGGCCACAUAGGCUGGCCAUUUAGGCCGUGUGGGCGUAAAAUUCUAAAUUUUUUCUAGGGUCGUAAACAACGUUUGGAUUGAAUGUAAGCCUUUUGUAGGGUCGAUUUGUUAUUAAUUAAGUCAUAAAGCAUGAAUUCUAGUCAUUUGCUAGUGCCAAAUUAGGUAUUUGUUCACAUGUCUAAAAUGAAAUGAUAUGAAUGAAUCUAUAAUAUGCUUUGUGAAGAAAAAUGUUAUGUAUUUUCUAUAUUUGUCACGAUAAGCAUGUACAUCAUAAACAUAUUUGAUAGAUAUUAGUUCUUUAUUUGCAUUUGGGACGAGAUUUAUGUAUUGGAGGAAGUGUGGGCAGUUUGAUUAUCUACCAUAUCUUGUGGCACAACCACAACUAUUUUUGUAUACGGCGAUAGUUCGCCUAUUGAUUUGGCAGCUAAGCUGCAAAUAUUCUAAAAAAAUGUCAUACCAACACUAAGUACUGUGUAAGGUUGGAUGGGUGUUUCAUACCCCAUAUCAUGUGUUAGGAUGGUUGGAGUUGUGUGUAGCAAAUGGGGUAGGAUUAUAUUUCUGCAUCUGUACUGCUUUGAUAUGUACUGUUUUUGAUAUUUCUAUCUGGCUAAUUUCUAUUGUUAAAAAAAAUUGUAUGUUACACACUAAGUUUCAAAAAACUUUCCUUCUGAUUGUUUGACUCUUUCAGGUAACCCUCAGAUUUAGGCGGAUUGGUGUAACGGGAGCUUGGUUUUAAUAAUUUGGUAUAUUUGAUUUAAUUAAAUUUGGAAUUAAGGUGUUCUGUAAAUUUUGGAUUGUUUGGACACUUGGAACUGUUUUAUUUUUGGACUUUAUUAUUGUUUUUCCAUUUAAAAUUGUUUAAACCGUUUUUAUUGAUGACGCUCGGUUUCCCUACAAAGUAAUGGAUUUUCAAAACAACAAUGGUGUUUUUCAAAAUCUAAUGCAUUAAGAAUUCCACUGUAAACUUAUAUGUUUUAGAAAGUGUAAACAAACAAUGUUUCACAAAAACAAAAAACUAAGAUGUGUUUUCAAACAAGUCAGAUUUUCACGUAACUUAAGCUAACAACACAUUUUUCAAAAUCAAUAAAUUUUGUGUUUUUAAACGAACUUGCAGUAAAAUCACCAGAUUUGACCAUAACGUCUAGUCCGAGUUUGGGGUGUUACAUUUCAUGGUAUCAUAGUCAAGUUUUAUAACAUGUUUUACAACUAUAUAUAUUUUUUAAAAGAUAAAAUAAAAUCAAUUUUUAACCAACUAAUCAAAUUUUUUCCUAUAGUUUAAACUCAUCUACAAGCUUUCUAGAGAAAAACUAACAUAUUCCUUACGUACACAGAGACUAAAAAACGAGACCUUAAGUAAAAAUAUCAAGCAUUUAACCACCCAACCAAUACACAUCACAUGAAAACAACCAACUACUCAAAAUCUAAAUUCUUGGGGUGUUACAAUAAUUCAAUUUAACAAUUAAUACAUGCUAUGAAGUUCAUAGUCUGUUCAUAACAUGUUUUACAAUCAUAAUAGGGUUUAAUAUGAGCUUAUGAAAGUUCUUUUGAUACCCGAGAUUGAAUAAGGACUAAAAUGUAAAUUUUGAAAAUUAAUGGGCUAAUACCGCAACUUCAAAGGUUCCAGGUCGUGACACGGCUUAUUGACUAUCCCUCGUCACGAUGUUAAGAACUCAAUGUUGUGAAGUGGCUAACUGUGUAACGAUUCAAAAAGUUAGUGAUGUCGAAAAAUAUAAUUUCAAAACCCAAUUUUCAUAAACUGAAGUCGUAAAUAUUAGAGAGUUAUAAUAUAAGUGAAUUGAAUUUUGGAUAAGUAAUUUAGUCAAAAUUGUGUUUAAUUAGGGUGUACGGACUAAAUUGUAAAAUACAAUCAUUAUGAAUUUUUAAGUAGAAAUGAAUUAAUAACCUAAAUUUUAAUUAACCUAAGGUUUAAAAUAGCAAUUUGACCUUGCUAUUAUAUAGCUAGUGGAGGAUAAUUAAUUGAUUUUAAAUAAAAUUUAUUUACUAAAUUAAAGUUAAAUAAAUAAUAUUAUAUACAUAUAAAGAGAUAGUGGAAGAAGAAGAAUAAUUUCAUCAUCUUCUUCUUCCAAGACUUGAAACAAAAAAGAAGGAAAAACUUAAGAAACGAUUGAAGGUUCAACCUUAACUGGUAUGUUCAAAUUAGCCAUUUUUCUUGUAAUUUUUAUAUUUUUAAGAUAAUGAAAGCUUGAUUUAGUUAGCCCAUGUAUCAAUUUGUAAAAAAGUUAAAGUUUUAAAAAAUUUUCAUUGUUGAUUUCUUGGAGUUUUAGAUGUUAAAUUGAUAUAUUUUAAGCAUAGAUGUGAAAAAAGGUCUAAAUCAUAAAGCUUAAUUGAUGGUUUAGUACAUUAAGGACUAAAGUGAAUAAAAUGUGAAAUUUACUAUAGAAAUAAGAAAUAUGAGGUCCCUAAUAAAAAAUAGUGAAAUCGAAUUUCAAUUCAGAGUUUUAAAUUGAGAAUUAUGUUAGUCCCGAUUUUAGGGGCUAAAUUGAAUAAAUUUAAAAACUUGUAUAAUUUCAUAAUUAAUUGGGAAUUGGUUGAUUAUUAAUAGUACUAUAUGUUUUAUGUUAAUCUGUAGCUAACAUUAACCAGGAUUCGUCGAGAAGGAAAGGAAAAUCCAAAGUCGUCAACAAGUAGCUUGAAAUUUUGGUUUGUAUUUCUAUUAUUUGGAACUCAUUUAAUUACUACAUAUUCAUGUUAUUUUACAUUACAUAUUGUUGAGGUCAGUCAUUAUUGAAUUGAAUUAUUAAGGAUUAGAUUGAAUAUCAAGACAAGGACUAAAUAGAAUAGAAUAGAAAAUGGUAUGGAUUGAUUGAUAUGUGAUAAUUGGUUUGAAAUUGAGUUGUUAUAUGAUGUUUAUACAAUGUUUAUAAUGAAUUGGAUUUUGAUUGUGAAUGUGGUUGAGAGUGUAUGUUGAAUUGGGUUGUGUAAUGGUAUUAAAAUUUGAAACUGCGUACUGGUUGAAUAUAGGAAAAACGAGUACAAUAUGGAAUGUUGAAUGGUAUGAAAUGUAUUGAUACUGAGGUUGAAAUGUGAUAAAUGGUUACAAUGUAUAGUGAUUCGGUGUUACCUUAAUAACGAUAUUGAGUAUCGUUGAAUUAGUUGGCAUGCUUUAGGUUAAAAAAAUCAUUGCUGGGCCAUUCGAUAUGGUAAUAUAUUGUAUAGUGCAAACCAUCAUUGUCUGACCACUCAGGAUGAUAUAAUGAAUAUAGGUAGUGAAAGGCAUUGUUGCUAGACAACCUGGGGAGAUGGAUCUGUGUAUCCAUACCGAGUCCGUGUUAUGUUAAUAGGGGAUAUAAACUAUGAAUUGGAUGAAUGUUGAUUAAAAACAUGUAAAUGUUAUUAAAUAUUACUACACGUGUAUAAAUAAGAUAUUCGUUUGUUGAUAGCAUGCGAAAGAUCAUGUGAACUGAUUAAACAGGUUGAGGGUUGAUAUGAAAGAUAAUGAAUGGUUUGAUUCGAAUUGGUAAUGUAAUGUGAUGUGAUGAAAUGUGGCAAAACUGAAUAAAUAUGUAAUGUCAUUAGUAUUGAGAUGUUGAUAUGUUAUGUUCAUUAGCUUAUUUGGUUGAAGUAAUACACAUGUAAUUCAUAUAAUGCAUAAUUGAGUAAAUGUUAAUACUUUUAUGUGAUAAUUGAUAUAAAUUGAAUUGCCUAUGAAUUGAAUGUUCCAUGACAAGUUAGUAUGUAUGUAUAUUGAAUUAAGGAACUUGCAUGAAUAUAAGCAUGUUAUAUUGUAUUGGAACGUGUUUGGCAUGAAAUUAGUUUGUGACUUGUUUUAAGUUAAAUUGAAGUAGAUACAUAUAUGAUUUAUAUUGUUUAAUUUUUUUGAAUCAUAGAUUUACCACUGAAUAUUUUGCUUAGCAUACAAUUUUUGUUUUCUUCAUGUGUCGGUAGAGUAGAUCUUCAAUAGUUCGAGUGGCCAUCUCAGCAUCCGACGAUCGAUUCCCGACUUAACAAAGUUUGUCUUAGCUUUAUUUUGUGUUAAGAAGGGCAUGUACCUAGGUUGAGUCAUUUUGGUACAAACUAUGUUUAUAUGCUUUUAUAUGUUAUAAUGUUGAUUUAUUUAUUUGGUCAAAUGAAAGUAUCUUGUAAAUAGACUUGAAUGUGUUUUGAUUUGGAAUGAAAUGUUAUAAAAGUGGAUGAAUUUAGCGAACUAGAAGAGAAUGAGAAUUAGAAUUGGAAUGAGAAUGAGAAUGGUUAGAAUUAAUUGUUUUAAAUGGUGUAGGCUUAAUAGUACAUAAGGUUUUAAAUGGUAUGAAAUGAUGCUAAAGAGUUAGAAUUAUUGGUUGGCUGAUGUUGGUGUGCACUUGGAAAUUUGUUGUUAAAAUUACAAUUUGUGAUUUAUGGUAAUAUUUUAGAGUUUGUAUGUGACGUAGUGAUGUUGAACGCACGUCGUCACAAUGAGCUUUGAAAUUUUAAGUUAUUGCGACGAGGAACCUUGACAUUGUAACACGGACGUGUGGGCCACACAGGCUAGGCUAGUGAAGCCACGUGGGCCCAAUUUCUGUAAAUUUUGCUUAAGGUUGUAAAUGAAAUACGAUUCGAGGUUAGCCAUUUUGUAGGGUAUGUAAUGUGAUACGUAUGACUGUUAAAUGUGAAAUAUGGUAUUUUGUCUCCGUAUAUGCUACUUUCAAAAGCCUGGUAGUAUGAUAUGAUAUGUAAGCAUGUUGAGUUUUGUGAUGGCAUGUUUCUGUUCUACCAUGUUUGUAUAUGAACAUGUGAAAUCUGAUUAUGUUGUUCUGUUUAAUUCUAAGACUACUAUGUGAUUAUACUUGUGACAUUGUAACAAAACUGAUUUGCUUUUGUCAAUAUUUGAUACAUCUUUUCUUCAAAGUGUGGAAUCCCAUGCCUUCUAUUUCCUAUGUAAUACAUAUUUGCAUGUCUUACAUACUUUUCAUUUAGAUUCUGUAUUUGCAUGCCAUAUUGCAUUGCGUGGGGUUGGGAUAUUUUUUGAAGGAGGAAGUGUUGGUAGUUUAAAUACAUAUUAAUAAUCCAUCAUUGUAACGUCCCCCUACCCGAGACCGUCGCCGGAGUCGAGCAGGAGACAUUACAAAACAUAUCUUAGCACUUAAACAAUUUUCGUAGUAAACUAUCCAUCUGCGUCACGGUCGCUAAAAAAAUCAUAUCUCGAGUUAUGAAACUCGAAAUAUAAUUCCGUAAAUUUUCCCUGAAAAUAGACUCAUAUAUCUACUAACUAAUUUUUUUCUAGAAUUUUUGGUCAGGCCAAUUAGUACAGUUUAUUAGAAAAAGUCUCCCCUAUUUCUGGGUUCAGCUACUCUGACCCUUGUGCACUACGAAUCAAAUUUCUUCCUGUACAGAAAUCCAAUGACUAUUCCAUUUGUUUCAAUUAAAAAUAGACUCAAUAAGGAAUCCAUACAAAUAAAGUUUGAGUCCUAAUUCUUAAUACACAAUUUAUGGUGAAUUUCUAAAUUCAGAACAGGGAAUCCAGAAAUUGUUCUAACCCUGUUUCACCAAAACGUAAAUAUCUCAUAAAAUACAACUCUUUUGCCUAUUUUAUUUCUUCCAUAUAAAAAUAGAUUCAUUAAGAUUCAAUUAAAAAUUUUAUUCAUUAUCUAAUUCACUUUAUACUAUUUUUGGUAUAUUUUCAAAGUUGGAAUACCGCUACUAUCCAAAUCUGUUUUAGUAUAAAAUGUUGAUAACUAAGUUUAUUCAUUUCUUCUCUCUACAAUAUUUACCAACACUUCCUCUUAUUACUCUUCACUAACAUAUCAAAACAUACCAUACUUAAGGUUUUGGUAACAUUUACAAAACAUACCAAAAUAUCACUUAACAACUUAAAUACUUUCAAAAUGACCAAAAGACAUCCUAGGUACAAUGCCAUUUUCCAAAAAGAUAAAAACUUCACCAAUUUGAGUUUGGGGAUCGGCUUGUAUGCUGAGUUCUUAUACUUUCGUACCUAGCCUGCGCACGGAAACAAACUGUACGCUGAGAAUACUCUCAGUGGUAUUUCUAUAAACAAUAGCUUAAUUAACUUUAAAACAUGGUAGUUCAAACACAUUAUUGCUAUUAUUCAAUAUCAAUCAGUACUUUAAUAACCUUUACUUUAUUUACCCUUAUUAACAUAACUCAGACACUGACGGAUACACGGAUCCAACCUACACUCCGGGAUAAGCACAUAGUGCUUCAUCGAAAUAAAUCUGGAACUUUAACAUUAUAGUACACAAAGUACUUCAUCGGAACAAAUCCGAAACUUUAACAGUAGUCGACACAUAGUGUCUCAUCGACUCAAUGUCGAAAUAUCCCAAUACUUUCAAUUCCUAUGCCAUGUCAACUUUAUCCGACUAGCCCGACACUGUUAAUAGGGUAUUCAAAAUCACAUUCAUUUCAAUAUGAUAAAAAUACUUACCUCAUUCACAUUUCCAUACAAUAUAAAUAUCAAAUAUAACAAUAACGAUUAAGCUCGGUUUAUAGAAAUACAAACCACUAUUUAUCGAAUUUAAUCGAUAUCUUCGUUCACUUUCUCUUUUCCCUUCUUUGAUGACAUAUCCGGUGCUACUUUUGCUACUAACAAUCAUACAAUUAAAAAUCAUCAAUAUAUUAAUUCAUAAAACACAUUUUCACUUUCUACCAAACUUUUACAAAAAUUCCAAUUUCGUCCUUUUUCCAUUACUAAUAUUUUUUUCUUUAACUUAAGCUUCAUAUUCUCUUUUAAUCAACUCAUUAACAAUUUCUAACUCAUAAAAUUCAUUAUAAAACAUAAAUUUUGAUCUCUAUUCAACUUAGUCCCUAUUUAAACCUAACUUAGAAAUUCCUUUAACUAAUCACUUCUAACUUCAAUUUCUAUCAAUUGUUACCAUAAAACCUCAAUUUAUUCAACUAAAUCAAUAUCUAAAAGUUCUCUAUUUUUCUUCAUUUUAACCUCAUACAUGUAGAAUUUUGAAUUAGGCAUCCAUAAAUAUAAAAAUCAUAAGAAAAUGAGCUAAAACAACUUACCAAUCAAGCUUUAAGUCCUUAAACCUCAAAUUUCCCUUUUCUAUUUCUUUCUUUCUUUCCUUCUUUCUUUCUCACGUUUGCUCUCUGUAACUUUUCUAUCUUUCUUUCUUUUUUUUUAACUUACUCAUAAAUCUAUAUUCAAUAUAAUAAUUUUAAUAAUAUAAUUUUAUUCUAAUAAAAUAACUUAAUCUAUAAGAAAAACUACUUUAACACCUUUAAUAUCUUUACCAACUAUUACACAUGUUAUUCAAUAUUAACACACACAUGUCACUUAGGGUCUAAUUGCUAGAUUAGUCCCUUUAUUAAUCUUUAAUCUAUAAUUAAACUUUUAUUCCUUAUGCAAUUUAGCCCUUUAAACUAAAUUCAAGCUACUUCACUUAAUCAAACAUGAAUCAACCACUCAACUAUAAUUCAUAAAUAUUUCUAAUAAAUAUUCAUGAAUUAAUUUCACGGAAACAGUACUCAAGACUCAAUUUCCGAUACCGUAACUUUCAGUUCAUUACAAUCAUUGCCGGACAACUUAGAGUGGUGGGUCAUCGUUGUCGAACAACCUGGGACAACUUAAUUGGUAGUUUAACCAUAUAUCUGUUCUGACAGCUUGACUGCAAUACUGGUGGAUUGACCACACUUAUUUGAUUCUGGUGGAUUACUACACUAUUUUAGGCAGCUUGACUGCAUUAUUCUAAAAAGUGACAUACGAUCACUUAAAGGUGUGUGGGGUUGGAUAGGUAUUUAUAUACCCUAAUUAGUGUGUAGGGAUGGACAGAGUUGGUGUGUAGCGAAUGAUGGUAGGAUCUGAAUCUGAAUCUACAUCUGCAUAAGUAACUGAUCUUGUUACUGAGUUUCCAUCUAUAACUAAAUUAGUAUCUGUAUCUGCAUCUGUAACAGAAUUUGUAUAAGUAUUUGCAUCUGCAACUGAAUUUGUAAUUGAUUUGUCUGUUAUUGUCACACCCAUAACUCAUUUUCAUUGCCGAAACAGGAUUACAGAGUAUUAUUGUAAAAAUGAAACAUUUCAUAACAAAUAGCUUUCAAUUAUCAAACUGAUUUAAUAAAUUCAUAUAUAAUUCAAAAUGGAACAAGUCAUACAAUUACAGGCCUUAGAGCCUAUGAGGCCUUAGAAACGAUUUAGGAAUAAUCGGGGACCAAUUCGAAACAAAUUAGAAAAUUCAGAGAAAAAUUAAAAAUUUCAAAUAAGGGUCACACGAUCAUGUGAUAGGAUAUAGACCGCAUGGUGUAGAGGCAUGACCGUGUCGCUACCUGUGUGCCAAACCUUGUAGCUUUUGAAAUAACUCCACACGGCCAUGUCACUAGCCGCGUGCUAACCUGUGUAGCAUUGAAAGUACCCUCACAUGACCGUGUCGAAGACCAUGUGCUAGCCUGUGUUGCACUGAUGUUGGGUCACACAGUCGUGUUGGAACUGUGUGUCAGCUCGUGUGAAAAUUGCACCUAACAAGCUCAGGAGACACGCUCAUGUGGGCUUCCCGUGUAUAUCACAUCUUAUUCUUCAUUCUAUUUCCUAACAGCCUAAAUCAAUCCAUACCACAUCAUUUCAACACCUUAAAACACAUCAUAGAGAACCAAAAUAUACCAAAUAUACUCAUCCAAUCUUACUCAAAAUGUCUUUCAAAUUCACAUCACAUGGUACCUAUAGUCUGUAUCUCUUUAAACAAACAUACAAACCACAAUACACACAUUAACUUUGCUUACCUUGACCACAAACACAAUGCCAAGAUCCAAACUAGAAACUACCAUUUAUGAUCAAACAUUUAGGCACAACUUAAGAUGUUAGGGUAGCAUACCAUAAGGAAUUCUAAAAUUUAUAACAUCAUGAAUGUAGACACUCAAUUUUGCUCGGCCCAUUUCAGUAUUUAAAAUAAUAAACCCCAAAAAAUAAAAAAAAACAAAGUCCAAGUCCAGUACAAAAUUACAAACAUAUAAUUUGGCCCAAUCGGAAUGGCCCAUUACUUGAAAAGAUUUAAGGUCCAUCUAUAAGCUUGACUCAUAUGGAAAUAUAAUCUUUAAGGAUAUGCAAUCUCAGAUAUGAUAUACAAUCUUAGAUAUGAUAUGCAAUCUUAGAUAUGAUAUGCAAUCUUGAAGAUAUGAUCUUGUAAUCUUGGAGAUUUAAUUUGUAGAUAUCCUUUAAUCUUAACCGUUGAUGUAAUUGAUCUAUAUCGUUAGAUUUGGGGAGGCUCAACUAUAAAUAGAGGCCUCUCCCUUCAUUGUAAAUCAAUUGAGUUUUGGGAAGCAAUAAGAAUUCUUGAGAGCAUUCACUCAAAUUCUCUCCCUCUUGCGUUCUUACUCUCUGUGGUUUGUUCUUAUUUUAUUCUUCGUCUAUCUUAGUUUUUCAACCUUUUUUUUAUUUUAAUUUCUUCAAUUUUCAAAUAUGCAUAUUUAUUCCUAUCUUUUAUACAUUUGAUUAUUUAUUUUAUAUAUUAUAAUAUUUGUAACGGCCUAAUUUUCAGUGGUGUCGGAAAUGGUGAUUUGAGAUCACUAAAUUCGACAAAUAAGAUUGAACAAGAUAGUAAUUUAAUAUUUAUGAGUCAAGUAAGAAUUUAGAAGAAUUUGUGAAAUGGUGAAAUUAGUGAAUUAAAAGAAUUUAUUAGGUCAAACGGGUCAAAAAUGAGGUAUCGAGACCUCCAAGUUGAAAAUCGAGCUAUAAAUAUUUUUAUAAAUAUUUAUGGAGUGUCCUUGAUUUAGUAUUAAGGUUUCGUUAGAAAAUUUUAACGUUUGGAUGGCUAAUUAAUUAAAAGGACUAAAUUGAAAAUAGCGCAAAAUUUGUUAAAUUGUGAGUAAAUAGCUUAAGUAUUUAAAAAGAUGGAUUUAAAGAGCAAUUAGACCCAAAGGUUAGUGGCUGGACGGUUUGGGUAUGAAAUAAGCAAGAAAACAAGGUGAACAAGGGGCAAAAUUGGAAAUAGCAUAAAAGUUAAUAGUUAAAUAAUGAUGUAAUUGAAAAAUCUAGACAUUUCUUCAUAUUUUCUCAGCCAAAACGCCAUAGAAGGUCUGGAGAAAGCUGUUUUUUCAUAUUUUUACAUCAUGUGAGUUUAAUUCUUACUUUUCUUGAUAAUUUUUAUGUUUUUAUGACUUUUACAAUUAGGUCCACUUGUAGAAUUCAUUAGUUUUUGAUUUUAUGGGUGAAAUUGGAAGUUACCCUGGAUGGAUAAGGGAAUUUUAUGAUGAAUUAUUAUGAAAUUUAAGUUCUAAUUUCAUAUUAAGGUGGUUUUAUUAAGUGAUUUUGAUAGGAAAUGAUAUUUAGGACCUAAUUGUGAAAAAGUUGUGAAUUGAAGGUUUCUGUUGAAAUUAAGAAUAUAAAAGGUUUUGAAACAGUUUAUGAUGAUAAAAUAAAGUGUUAAUUGAGAAAAAUUAGUUCAAUUGAUGGGUGAAUUGAGCAGGGACUAAAUUGUGAAAACUGUAAAUUUUGGGGUAAAAGUGCAAUUUCGAAAUUUGAACAGCAUAAAUUGUGAAGUGAAAUAGAAUUGAAAUGGAUGCUAAUGAAGGAAUGAUUUUAUAAUUAUAGAUCAAGAAAACGAACUGAAUCGUGGAAAGGAGAAAAUUCAGGAAUAGUCCCUGAAUUUCUACGACUUUUGCAAAUUAGUCCAGGUAAGUUCAUAUGGCAAAGUUCAAUGUUUUGAUAUGAAAAUCUUAUGAUUGUUAAAGUAUUUUAUUGUUGAUGAAUACUAUCAAUUUGCAUUAACUAAUAAAUAAUGUGUAACUAAAAGUACAAAUUAGUAGGAACAAUGGAUUUGAAUGCUUCUAUGCUGUGACCCUGAUGAAUUGACGAAAAAUAUGUGAUAAGUGCGCCCGUUUAAGACCAUAGCUGGGCUAUGGCAUCGGUACAAUGUGAUAAUGUGACUCCGUAUAAGACCAUAGCUGGGCUAUGGCAUCGGUAUAAUGUGAUAAUGUGAUUCCGUAUAAGACCAUGUCUGGGAUAUGGCUUCGGUAUGAUAUGUGAACCGUGUAAGACCAUGGCAAGGCUAUGGCUUCGGUGUGUGAUGCGUAACAAUGUGAAAGUCCAUAGUUUACUACGGCAAUGUGAUAAUGAAGCACUCAAUUCCCUUAUUGUUCCCUAAUUUGACAAUGAAGUAAAUGAGAAAUGGGCCUAAGGGAGUUAAAUUGUGAGUAGCCAUAUGGAAAUUAUUCCAAUGAGUUAUUAAUGAAAUUGUGAUUUGGAGGAUGAAAUAGUUAAACUAAUAGAUAUAUGAUUGUGUACGAUAUUUGAUAUGAUUUGUGUUUUUAUGCCUAUGAGCUUACUAAGCUU
This 42391-nucleotide long non-coding RNA is filed under the name Gossypium barbadense (sea-island cotton). Its description in RNAcentral is "long non-coding RNA (GBAR_LNC002932)". The record is from RNAcentral. Lineage: Eukaryota; Viridiplantae; Streptophyta; Magnoliopsida; Malvales; Malvaceae.